Molecule: long non-coding RNA, 731 nt
Organism: Phragmites australis (common reed)
Lineage: Eukaryota; Viridiplantae; Streptophyta; Magnoliopsida; Poales; Poaceae
Exons: 2
Source: RefSeq, a predicted model, not a curated record
UUGAGUUGGAGAUCAACCUCAACCCAGAUGAAGUCAAAGAGAAGAAGUGUAAGGUCGCGUCCGCACCCGAGUUGCCUGUGGCAUUGGGUUGUAUCGUCGUUUCGCUCCGCUGUGCUGUAGGCUCUUCUGCCUGGCUGGUCUGCUGUGGAUUUUUGUCCAUCAGACCAUCUUUUCAUUUUUCAGCUACUUCAUCCAGGGACUGAUACAGGAGGCACAAGGGAACCCGGGUUCGGGGUCCUGACAAUUUGGAUGGUUCCUCACAGCGACUUACGUGCAGUAAUGUAAGAUAUCAGUGAUGCAUGCCAGGUACUUGACUAAAUUACCCAUCCAGGAUGCAGUCUCAAUUGCUAUUUGUUACUAAUUCUUCCCCCUGACACGGUUGAUCAAUCCAUUCAAUCUAGAUUGAACACUGCUUCAUCCCAUGGCACUAUCUAUAAAUUUGUAGGUGGUUGCUUCUAUCAUUCAUGUUGUUUCUUUGCAAGAUUUUUCGCACUUCCUUUUCGAUGAAUAUUUUCACUCGCCAUAACUUAUUAAUUUAUAACUAUUGUUGUAUUCUACAUUGCAGGUUGAAUUUUAUUGACUUCUAAGCUAAAGUAAAGCGGUAUAUUUGCUAAAGUAUUGCGAUAUGCAAAUUGCAUCUUUUAGGCAAUUCCCUCUUAGCAUUGUGCUGUACUUAACCAGUUCAUGAUACUAAAGUUGUUCCAUCAAUCAUAAUGUCUUGGUUCAGCUGA